RNAcentral lists this ribosomal RNA (253 nucleotides) under uncultured bacterium. Its description in RNAcentral is "partial 16S ribosomal RNA". It matches the Rfam family "Bacterial small subunit ribosomal RNA", at positions 524 to 776 of the family's 1533-position model. The record is from RNAcentral.
UACAGAGGGGGCAAGCGUUGUUCGGAUAUACUGGGCGUAAAGCGCACGUAGGCGGCGCCGUAAGUCAGGGGUGAAAUCCCGGAGCUCAACUCCGGAACUGCCCUUGAAACUGCAGUGCUAGAAUCUUGGAGAGGCGAGUGGAAUUCCGAGUGUAGAGGUGAAAUUCGUAGAUAUUCGGAAGAACACCAGUGGCGAAGGCGACUCGCUGGACAAGUAUUGACGCUGAGGUGCGAAAGCGUGGGGAGCAAACAGG